UACGUAGGGGGCAAGCGUUGUCCGGAUUUAUUGGGCGUAAAGAGCGUGUAGGCGGUCAGGCAGGUCCGUUGUGAAAACUCGAGGCUCAACCUCGAGACGCCGAUGGAAACCAUCUGACUAGAGUCCGGAAGAGGAGAGUGGAAUUCCUGGUGUAGCGGUGAAAUGCGCAGAUAUCAGGAAGAACACCCGUGGCUAAGGCGGCUCUCUGGUACGGUACUGACGCUGAGACACGAAGGCGUGGGGAGCGAACAGG
Molecule: ribosomal RNA, 253 nt
Filed under: uncultured bacterium
Lineage: Bacteria
Description: partial 16S ribosomal RNA
Rfam family: Bacterial small subunit ribosomal RNA
Source: RNAcentral